GUGACACUACUGGGUGGGUAACUUUGGUGUUCCCUAUCUCCUCUUUCUCUCUCGGGGGUGACAAGGCCAGACCUUCCUCCAUAGGUAUAGGAAGGAGCUUGUAAAAGCUGUUGACCUUCAGCAGCACAUUAUAUACUGUAUAAAAGCUACAAACAGAUGUAGAACACUGCAGGAUCAGAAAAGGAUGGAGAAAAAGGAAAUGUAUUUCACUGCCUUCAAUUUUUUAUGUAUUUUUUUUAACUGUGUUUGAAACCUGUUUCUUGUAUUAAGAAGAAACCGACAGGGACGGAACAACAUGACGUCUCACCCAGGUGCACACUGGUACUGGAUGGUGGAUCCUACGGUGGCAUUGCCCUGCACGGAGAGCAGAUCAUCAUCAUCAGGCAAAGAACAGGACACCUCAGGCACCAGAACUGGCUCUGCUGCAAGACCUCCUCCUGGGGAGGCUGAUGGAAAAAUCAAAAUAGCUUAUUUAUCUCUUGACUUGAUUGUGCAUUAAAAUGCUUGGUUGAUUUGGUAGACAUCUAGUUGAAAAAUGUUAAGAAUUGUACUGUUUGUAUUCAUGUUUCUUAUUGUUUUAGAAAACCUUUUCAGUUUAACUCUAAAAAUGUAGAUUAGUGAAAAUCAGUUAAAAAGGAAAAAGUAGUAACAUAUUUGAACAUAACAAAAAUAUAUUUCAAUUGACCUGUUUGGUCUAUUAAUUCACAUAGAGUCCCCAUGUGAAACAUAUGUAUAGGCUAUUAGCACUGCAGCACACACCACUUAAAAGGGAGUCACAUUUAAUCUGUAAAAACAAGAAAAUGUUCAAUCUGAAAUAAAAGUUACUACAGUACAAAUCUCAGAGAGUGACACUACUUUGAACACUCCCCAAGACAUUGCCAAAGCAUGAGUAAAGUGACUGUGUAUAAAUGAAGGCACAGACUUCUCCAUAGACUCAUUCAUAUGCAUGAGAAAUUACCUGACUCACCCAGUGUGCCAGUCUCUGUUUGGAAAGCGCAGCACCCCUGCACACACUGCUAAAACAAUCAAACUGUCUUAUGCCAAGCUGCUGUCUUAACAAUGUAAGCUCUCAAAGAUCUAACUGGACAUAGCUCCAAUAGUCAGCCAAUACAAUCAAGUACUCCUCAAACAGAGAGCAAUCACUGAUUUAAGAAUUUUGUUGUAAUGGCCAAGAGAAAUGUGGUCUUAAAUGAUAUAAAGAAGGUGUAUGUGGCAUAUUAGCGGCUCAUCAAUCUGAGUUUAGUACUUGUUCUCUUAGCUCUGACAGGUUCAAUUUUGCCUUCCUGAUAGGAGCUAAUGGUUUAUUUCCUCUAUGUGGUGUACGGAGUCCGAUGUGGGAUUUGAAUAUUGUUCUCAAAUCCUUGUGUCAGACCACAUUUGAGCCAACAUCAAAGUGCUGCAAAAAAAUCUAAAAUGCAUCCCACUGAACAGUGUCACAAAAACGUUCCACUUACAAGCAUACAACUUUUGUGUGGAUGGAGCACAAACAUUCAAAACAGUUGGCUGGCCCACUGUGAACACUCCAAGAAAAGCCUUUUGGUCUCUGUGGCCACACCCACAGGUUCAAUUGGUCUGGUUUUAUGUACCAAACUUUCCCUCCUUACUGACUCUGUAGGUCUGGUCUGCUUGGCAGAUGAUAAUAGCCACUUUUCCACUGGGGCGGGGCGGGGCUAAUAGCCUUGGGCCAGUAGCACUGAGGCCAAAAUAGCGCUGCAUUUCCACUGUCGAGCCAGAAGCUCCAGUCGCGUCACUAAAACCCGCCCUUUACAUGCAACCCCAUCAUUUCACCAACAAAGAGAAGUUACCAGAAAACUAAUAAGAAAUAAAUCACUGGAACAUGUGUGAUCACAAAACGAACACGAUAACAGUGGACUUUUGUUUGCAUGUUUUGUUAAAUAUUUAAAUUCAAAAGCAUCAAUGUUUUACUAUAAGUGACACACUGAGCAUAAUGAAUACAUUUAUCAGACUUGAAAAUUUGUCACAGAGAUAAAUGUAUUUAUUUUAUUUAUUUAUUUUUUUACGCUGAAGCGUAUUCAGACGAGACUGUUUCUGUUUAUUUGUAGCCACAUAAAUCACAUUAAGAAUUAAUGAUAAUUUCUCCAUUUUUAUAAAAGCUCCCAAACAAAAAAACAUUAUUAUAUUUUUAUGAUAGGCUACGUGGAGCUAAACUCUCGAGACA
Molecule: long non-coding RNA, 2179 nt
Organism: Carassius auratus (goldfish)
Lineage: Eukaryota; Metazoa; Chordata; Actinopteri; Cypriniformes; Cyprinidae
Exons: 3
Source: RefSeq, a predicted model, not a curated record